CCUACGGGAUGCAGCAGUGGGAAUAUUGGGCAAUGGGCGCAAGCCUGACCCAGCAACGCCGCGUGAAGGAAGAAGUCUUUCGGGUUGUAAACUUCUUUUAUCUGAGACGAUACAAGUGACGGUACCUGAUGAAUAAGCCACGGCUAACUACGUGCCAGCAGCCGCGGUAAUACGUAGGUGGCAAGCGUUAUCCGGAUUUACUGGGUGUAAAGGGAGUGUAGGCGGGAGUGCAAGUCAGUUGUGAAAACUAUGGGCUCAACCCAUAGACUGCAUUUGAUACUGUAAUUGUUGAGUGCUGUAGAGGUAAUCGGAAUUCGGUGUGUAGCGGUGAAAUGCGUAGAUAUAAGGAGGAACACCAGUGGCGAAGGCGGAUUGCUGGACAGUAACUGACGCUGAGGCGCGAAAGCGUGGGGAGCAAACAGGAUUAGAUACCCUUGUAGUC
RNAcentral lists this ribosomal RNA (442 nucleotides) under uncultured bacterium. RNAcentral's name for it is "partial 16S ribosomal RNA". It matches the Rfam family "Bacterial small subunit ribosomal RNA", at positions 338 to 795 of the family's 1533-position model. The record is from RNAcentral.